GGAAGAAACAGUGGGAAAACAUUGUGAUCUUCAUUUGUGCUUGGUAAGAGCAUGUCAUUUUUCCAAAAUGAUGUCUGGUCAUUCUUAGAAAUGCCCUAUGCUAUGUCCAUUUAGUCAGCACACAGGAGCUCACGGACAGGACACAGCACUCCUAGCAGCAUCCUAUGUGUAGAAGUCCCAAGAGAUUCACAGAAAUCAUAAAACUUCUAGUUCAAAAUUAUUGAGAUAUUUUAAAUAGAAUUUCAAAUUUUUGAAUUUGCCUUGGAUUUCUUUUUUUCUUUUUUUAAAGUAAAUACUUUUUUUUCAUGUGCUAUUUUCUAUGUUACACAUAUUUGGGAUUUACCCAUGUUAACUGAAACUUUAUGUAGAGUUUCCUAGGAGUAGUCCUUUAGGUUCCCCUCACCCCUUCCUGAGAUUCACAAAAGUUUUCGAACACAUAGAGUAGGAAGGAAUCUUUCAGGAAGUUUGAAACUUGCAUAGCCAGAGCCAUCCCUGUGUUUGUACAACCGAUAAUGAGGAGGUAAGGAGGUAGCUGCAGAACUCUUGGCUACAAGGCCAGUCUCUGUUCUCCUAGCAGCCAUCAGCAAGGAAACCAUUUGCACUGGGACAAAGGAAGAACUCAAGAGUCACUUACAUAAUAAGAGACUGCAGUCCAGGCAGCAUCCAACUAAGAAUAUGCCAUUUUCCUUUUUUCAAAAUCUGAAAGAAAAAAAAAUUGUUUUUUUUAGUUUAGUCUAAUCCACUCCUGCACUGCUGUAGAAAGUAUUUUAGAGGCUCAGGAUCCUAUGUUAGGAUACUUUGGCAUUGAAUAGAAUCAACUAAGAAGGAAUACAAGUUGCAAAACAACAAAACAACAAAAAAUCUUGACAAACCUUAAGGAGACAGAAAUUUUAAAUAAUUAAAGAGAGAUGAGGUCUGAUGGGAGGAAGUGACUGGUGCUGUGUUCAUUGCUGAAUCCCUGGCACACUCGGACCCUGCAAGGGCAAAGUGUAAACAGAAGUCAGAAGCACAGAACCUGAACCAACAGAAGAGCAACAUCUGGACUGGAAUGCUAUGUCCUCCUGAGGGAGAAUUCACAGUUAACAUCAGAACCAUACUCCAUGUCACCAGCACAUUGUUAUAUAUCUACCUUUUUUAUUGAUUAAUUAAUUUAUUUUAAUUAGAUAUAUAUGACAGCAGAAUGCAUUUUGAUUCAUUGUACACAAUUGCAGCACAACUUUUCAUUUCUCUGGUUGUACAUGAAGUAGCGUCGUACCAUAUGUGCAGUCAUACACAUAGAUAGGGUAAUGAUGUCCAUGUCAUUCCACCAUCUUUCAUGCCCCCAUGGCCCCUGCCCACUCCUCCCUCCCCUUUGCCCCAUCAAAGUUCCUCCAUUUUUCCCAUGCCCCCCCCAUUAUGGAUUAGCAUCCCUUAUCAGAGAGAACAUUUGGCCUUUGUUUUUUUUUGGAUUUGGACAAUAUCAUGCUUCACUUCACAACUCCAUCCAUUUACCUGCAAAUGCCAUAAUUUUAUUCUCUUUUAAUGCUGGGUAAUAUUCCAUGUGUAUAUAUACCAGUUUCUUUAUCCAUUCAUUUAUUGAAGGGCAUCUAGGUUGCUUCCACAGUUUAGCUAUUGUGAAUUGAGCUGCUAUAAAUAUUGAUGUGGCUGCGUUAUUACAGUAUGCUGAUUUUAAGACCUUUGGGUAUAGACCAAGGAGUGGGAUAGUUGGAUCAAAUGGUGGUUCCAUUCCAAGUUUUCUAAGGAAUCUCCAUACUGCUUUCCAGAUUGGUUGUACCAAUUUGAAGUCCCACCAGCAACAUAUGAGUGUGCCUUUUCCCCACAUCCUCGCUGACAUUUAUUGUUGUCUGUAUUCUUGAUAACUGUUGGUACAUAAACCAUGUAUGAUUUGUCCCAUUUGGCAUUCAUCCUUUCUUUUGUUUUAGAUUUUUUUUCCCCUCCACUCAUACUUUCUUUUCUUGGUACUGGCCAUGGAACCCAGAGCCUCACACAUGCUAGGCAAAUGCUCUACCACUUAGCUACAUCCACAGUUGUUUAUUUUCAAUUUUUUAAAUUUUUGAGACAGGCUCUUGCUAAAUCACGCAACCUGGCCUCAAGUUUUCAAUUCUCCUGCCCCAGCCUCCUGAGUAGCUGGGAUUAUAGGUACACAUUACCACACCCAGUUGGCAUUUCUAUUUUCUAAAUUAACCCUUUUGCACUCCUUAUGUAGAAUCUUAUCUCUUAAGGUAUUGACAAGGAAGGAUAUCGGAAGUAGAAGGACCCAAAUGACCUUACAGUUGCCACCUGGUUCCCAGAUUAGGUAGCUCAGUCCAUAGCUCCUCCUACAUUCAACACAUUCAUGAUGAUUGAUUAGGCCCUUACAUGGGUGGGGCAAGUUAACUUUUUCAAGUCCAUGUUUGAUCCGGCACUACAUUUCCUUUGUGUAUUAAAUAACUAAGCAUUCCAUAUUUUUUUUCUCUCUUCUAGAUUAGUGAAGGAGCAGAAUGCAUUUUUAUUCCGAAAAACUUAUUUCUAGCAGAAGCCAGCACUGAAUUCAGGAGAGCAGUUUUGGAGCUGGUGUGUCCUUACCCCACAGAGGAGGCCAUUCAGGAACACCUGACCACACAGCAAGUGUGGAAUGAGUACAAGGACAGACUCCUGGCACAGCACCCGAACACAAGAAGCAGGGCCACUGGCAGAGCUCAUUUUUGUUUUUUAAAAAUAUUAAAAGACAUUAAAAAACACAAGUGAAAGUUCAUUUCAGUAUGCUCGAAGACCUGCCUUUACGGAGAUGAGGGCACAGGAUAUAUAUAUGCAGUGCUGCUCAAAAAGAUGAUGUCACAGUCUAAUUUGCUCAGAACUGUAUCUUGGUAACUGUUACACUGGAAAACACAAUUGAAACCUGAGAAGUUGUACUGUUAUUUUUCAUUAAAUGAUGUGUUCAAGAUUUAGUUAUCCAAGAGGUUUUAGUUCACAUUGGAUAGUGUGCUCAAUACAUUUGUUAGUAAUAAAAGCAGGCUAGAAAACUGACUAAUAUGAUUGCAAUUAAAAAUAUGUGUGUGUGUGUGCACAUGUGUGUGUUUACCACAUACAAAAUGGCACAAGAAUUUAGC
This 3089-nucleotide long non-coding RNA is filed under the name Marmota monax (woodchuck). Lineage: Eukaryota; Metazoa; Chordata; Mammalia; Rodentia; Sciuridae. The record is from RNAcentral.